AGUGAACGCUGGCGGCAGGCCUAAUACAUGCAAGUCGAACGGCAGCACGGCAGAGCUUGCUCUGUGGGUGGCGAGUGGCGGACGGGUGAGGAAUACAUGGGAAUCUGCCCAGUCGUGGGGGAUAACGUAGGGAAACUUACGCUAAUACCGCAUGCGCCCUUCGGGGGAAAGCCGGGGACCUUCGGGCCUGGCGCGAUUGGAUGAGCCCAUGUCGGAUUAGCUAGUUGGCGGGGUAAUGGCCCACCAAGGCGACGAUCCGUAGCUGGUCUGAGAGGAUGAUCAGCCACACUGGAACUGAGACACGGUCCGGACUCCUACGGGAGGCAGCAGUGGGGAAUAUUGCGCAAUGGGCGAAAGCCUGACGCAGCCAUACCGCGUGUGUGAAGAAGGCCUUCGGGUUGUAAAGCACUUUCAGUGGGGAGGAAAAGCUGGUGGCUAAUAUCCAUCGGCCGUGACGCUACCCACAGAAGAAGCACCGGCUAAUUCCGUG
This 490-nucleotide ribosomal RNA is filed under the name uncultured bacterium. RNAcentral's name for it is "bacterial SSU rRNA". It matches the Rfam family "Bacterial small subunit ribosomal RNA", at positions 30 to 507 of the family's 1533-position model. The record is from RNAcentral.